UAGUUUCAUUAGAAAACUUUCAUUAAUAAUAUAAUUAUUGACUUCAAGUAAAGGUGCAGCAAAUAAGAAAGACAGAGGUGGGUUACAUUUAAUUGAAUAAAACGGAUAAAGUUAUGAAAUUACUUUUGAAGGUGGAUUUAAUAGUAAAGUUUAAUAAAACUU
RNAcentral lists this ribosomal RNA (162 nucleotides) under Amphibalanus amphitrite. RNAcentral's name for it is "partial small subunit ribosomal RNA". Lineage: Eukaryota; Metazoa; Arthropoda; Thecostraca; Balanomorpha; Balanidae. The record is from RNAcentral.